GUAAACAUUGGCACCCAGGACUUGGUUGAAGGGAGGGUUAAUACAGCUAAACGGAUUCCUAUGUGAGUUAGAAUGAAAUAUGCUGAUAAUCUUAUGGUUUUCAUCUUGAUUAUUUGUAUUGCAGCCACAUCUCUUACUUGGGUUGAUCUCUCAAAUCAUAAAGGUAGGCAUAUAAAUCCUCUGUAUUAUUUAUAUGCAAUUUCUUGUAUUGGCUUUAAACUUUCAUGAUGGACUGAGAAAAGUAGGAUGUUAACUUAAGACAAGUUGUUUUCAGGUACCCUUUUUCUCAUCCUUACCUCUGUGACGGACUGGCAGAUCAACUGCUUAGCAGAUCUAAACCUUAAGAAGAAGACACCAUCAGCUUGUGGAAUUGGUGGAGGAUAGCAAAUUCAGUAAUAUAUCUCUUUAUCAUGUGAUUGAUGAUGUUUAAACUAAGAAUAAUUCAUGAAAAAAACAGGUUUUAGACAAAUGCAUUGAUUUGUUUCCAUUUGAAUUAUUGUAACUUGCAUGAUGUUGAGGAACUUGGGGGUUAGCUCCUGAGAAGGUUCUACUAAAAUGGAUGAAUUUUCAUUUAAAUAAAGCAGGCUACGAGAAAACCGUUACAAAUUUUUUGUCAGAUGUGAAGGUAUUUGACUAUGUUAAUACUAAAUUUAGUGGCAAGGGUACAAUAAACUAAUAAAAUGGACCGAGGUGGAUGCUUAUACAUCUAUUGGAAGCAUUGCUUUAUUUCGCUUGCAUUCAUUAUUUGGUAUGUUUUACUCAUUUCCAUACAUGCAGGAUGCAAAAGCUUAUGCAUACCUGCUUAAUGUUCAGGCACCAGAGCACUGCAAUCCAUUGACCCUAGAUACUAAGGAUGCUGCCGAAAGGGCUAAACUGGUACUUGACCAUGCAGAGAGAAUGGGCUGCAAACGGUAUUUGAGCCCUAAAGACAUAGUUGAGGGCUCGACAAACCUGAAUCUUGCAUUUGUGCCUCAAAUCUUUCAUCAGAGGUGAGAAACCACAAAUCUGGCAGUUGUAACACAGACAUUUUCCUUUUAAAUAACUUUUCGGUUUAGUAGCAUUUGUCAUAGAAAACUGUUGAAAUAUCAAAUCUGGGGCUUACUCCACUCUAAGAGGUUUUAGGAACAGCCUGUGGUCUUGUGCCUUGUAAAACUGUUAAAAUAUGAAAUUAGUAGGAGUCAAGGUGCAUGGGUUUUUUCUCAUGUACUUAAAAUCAUGAAUGGCUUUGUUGUAAUGCACAUCUUUUGUUAGAAAGAUUAGGAGAUAGUGCUAUGAUUUGAUGCUUACACAAUUCGGCUGUGGUGUUUUCCAGAUGGUUUGCUUACAAGGGUUUUCGCGAGCCGCCAGUCCAUUAUCAUGUUGGUGUUUUAGGCUGUUUAGUUAGUAAAACAAAGUCUGCUCUUUGCUCUUUAUAUGUUGUCUCUAGUUUUGUUAUUGGAUAAGAAAAACAUGUGUGCUGUUGCGGGAAUGGCCUGAGCGUAGACAGCAAAAAGAUUUCUUUUGCAGAAAGGAUGACAGAUGAUAUGCAAAUCUCCAGAGAAGAGACAUGUUUGCGACUGUAGAUCAACAGUCUUGGGAUUGGGAGUUAUGUUAAUAAUGUCUUUGAGGAUUUCAGAACUGGGUAAGUCUUCCGCUUCACCGAUAUAGUUAAAAUGCUCAAGUUCCAUGCAUUAUCUCUAUCGUAGAUUUUCAGCAAACAUUACAAGCAACAGGUUAAACCACGAAAGUAUCAGGUUAAUUGCUUGUCCUUUCUCUUAGGAUGCGGGCACGGAUGCAUUUUCAAGUACAAGCUGGCACGUUUUGCAUAUGUCUCAACAUUUUCAACAUCAGCUUGUUUCUGCCAUAUUAAUUUAUGAUGAUCUUUGAAGGCAGGCAUCAUAGUUUUGUAAUUCCAUGUAAUUCCAAUAUUUCAACUAUCAACAUAGGGAGCUUGAUUUUGAUGCAGAUGGAUACUUUUAGAGGUGCUUGAUAAGAUUGCUCCUGGAUCAGCUGUUGCAGUACCAGAUGGACUUGAAGUUGGGGUGGUUUUUGUGGCAACAGGAAGCAAAGGGGGCUCAAUAACAUUUGCCUCAUUCAGAUAGUGAUUUGGAGCUUUAGCUGGUGGCAAGUAAUCAUUUGUGAUUAGUUUCCAAAGGCCGCCAGGCGGAACGGGGCUCAUAUAACCAGCUGUUUUGUUGCCUCUGUUUAAGCAUCGGUUCCCUACAAAAAGAUUAUCAAAUCAACACCAAUACUAUGAAAAUUUUGUAGUUUCUGCAUAUGACAGUGCCAACAUGCACUUACUCCGGUAUCUAUUAGAUGUCUUUGGGAAGUCUGUAAUGACACCAUCAAUACCAGCUAAAGUGUAGAAGGAAUUGAUCUCAACAGUUGCAUCAGAUAAGUAGUCCCAUGCUUGAGAUACGAACUCAUUACUGAAGGUUUGAACAUAUACAGAGAGAUUAGCAUUAUGUAGCCUCGGGACAACAUCCGUAACACCAGUGAGGAAUGCUGUAUUUUCAGGAAAGACAGAGUCCUUGCUGAUGACCACAGCGCUAGCAAAUCUCUUAAUGUCGUCAAUUGCUGGACUGUCAGCACCACCAAUAUCUUCAUCAACCUUGUAGACAAGUUUAUAGUUGGUUUUAGUCUUGAACUUCAUUAGAACAGAGCUAUUACUGGACUGGAUCAUAACUGUCUGAGCUGUCUGUUCAUCAUAGUCAGCUUUUCUCAAAGCAUCAAGUACUGCGUCAGUUACACCAUAUCCCUGCUCUGCAAGGUAAGGAGCAUUCUGAAAGGAAUAAACAAGUCAAAAAUUUUCAUAAAUAUUCCUGUUAUGUUGUCAAGGAAGAAACCAUUUGAAAUACAAAUAUUACAACAUUUAUAGCUAGCUCACAAUAGCGGCAGAUCCAAGAUUUUUUUUCUAGAUGUGUCCACUUAACAUAUAUAUAUAAUUGUUGAUGGAUUUGCUAAUUCUAUCAACCAAAAAGGGCAUCCAAGAAAAAAUUUUGGAGGUGUACCGGGAAAGUUUUUCCUUCAAAUUUUCUUUUUGAGGGUUACUACUUUUGAAUGUGGAUCCACCACUGGCUCACAAAUGAGGCUUCUAAGCAAAUUAGAGCUUCAGGGGAAGGUUUUUUUUUUUUUUUUUUUUAAAUCAAAGAAAGAAAAGAAGAUUGGAAUUUACUCACAGAAUGUCAAGAAAAAUAUGGACACAUGUAGAUACCCAAGAAGAUUUUGCUAACCAUAUAGGGGAAAUAAUCAUGAAGAUUACACUUUUCGGUAUCCAUGAUUUUCUUACAUUACUUUGCAAGUAAGUUCAAACCGAAUAGCUUAAAUACAAGAAAGACAUCCCACAAGAGACAAAACUUACAUGAAGCUUUUUAAGUGAAAUUUUUGAAAUUUUUUCUCAAAAAUGAUUUAAUAAAUACUUUAAUAAAAAAAAAUCCAAACCAAUAAAUUGAUAGAAUUUAAUAUAAAAAUCAAUAGUACGUAAAAAAAAUUAUUAAAAAUAUUAUUUAUAAUUCAAAUUUGAACCACUCUUAUUUAACAGUAAAAAUUCUCAAUAUUUUUACUAAAAAUGUCUAUCUAAAAAUAUAUCAAAAUUUAUUAAAAUAUUUUUUUAAUUUUGCACACUUGAUUUAUGUAACAAAAAUUUUUAAUCUAUUGGUUUUGAUUUUCGAUUUUAUUUUUUAUUUAUUAGUUUCUAAUUGAAAACUUCACAAACUUCACAUAAGGAAUUUCAUCUAUGUCUUUCUCUCCUACAAGAUAGGUUUAUCUAGAUCUCAACAUUUGGAAAACAAAGGAAUGAUCUUUAAAUCUCAAGUGAUAUUCAGUUAUGAUGAGAGCAUUAAAAGUUUUGAAAACCCUAGAAUUAGCGAACUUUAGAGUGAUUUAGGCAAUGUAUCUACAGAUGUCAAGUUCAUAAUGGUGGCAGCUUCUUAUGAAACUACAUUUCUAUGUUUCUUUGACCAUUCAGUUCAAUAUAUUCUACAUGGCAUAACCCACAGCUACCAUAGUUAUGAUUAAGACUCAAUCUGAUAUGUUUCUCGGAAUAAUUAGGAUACCAAACAGUACCCACCAGCACAGCAGAUAACCAUAGCCACCAUUCACAGUGCCUAACCUCUUAACAUGCAUCAUUAGGUUCAAUAAUGUGAGUAGAAAAUAAAAAUUACGGCAGUAAACUCCAAUGCAAGAAACUUGAAGAGGAAAAGUACAGAAUGGCAAGAACUGACCUCUAUGCUGAUUAAGAUACCAUAAAGAGAGCUAGCAUUCUUUGCCAUGGCUAAAAAAUCAUAUAAAGUUAAGAACUUCCCAGAAUUUUUGAACUUCGGAUUUCGAAACAAUUGGUAAGCUGACUGUGGGCUUGAUAUUACAGCUACAAUGAAAGUAAUGAUAGAUUACAAAAAAAUUAAAGCCAAUUAUAUCUAUUUAAGAAACAGCAAGAUGGCUAAAUCUCAGCAACUAAAACACAGACUUAGAUGAUAGGGCAAAGUAAAUAAAACUGACAUAGUAUACACGGAAACAUUAUCUCCCAAAGCAAGGAUUUUAGUCAUGCUCCACGACCAUGGUUAUGAGUAACAAUCUUUCAAGCACAGAAAAAAUGAGGAGGAGCACUCACAAAGCAUCAAAAAUACCCACUCAACAUAAUGUACAAACUUCAAUCUUUACUGAGUUAGACAACAUUUAUUUUCAACAUGUUAUGUUUCUAAAACUAUUAGAGACUAUAGAUGACAUCCCAACCAUCCCAAAAGAAAAAAUAAAACAAAGCAAAAGUUCAGUACGAUAAAGAACAAGCAAAAUGAGAACUAAAUUCAACUUACGUGUCAAGCUUUGAAUAUCAAUCCAGGACAUGUUGAAGGUAAAUAUUCCACUGCCUUGCGUAAUCUCUGGAAUUGUUGUUAUAAGAUUGCUAAAACUUGAUUGAGCAACUGUUGUGCUAUCUAUCAGAUUUACAGAGCCCAAGCAAAUAGGUGUUCCAUCCUUUGUCAUUUGAACAGGACAGUCAAGAACAUCUACACCAUCUUCAAUUGCUUUUAAAUAUGCCAAGUCAGUACAACCAGGAAAGUCUCCACUUGCUCCAUUUUUUGAGAUGACCAAAAGGUUCACUGUAGCAUGCCAACAAAAUAAAAUAGGUUAUGAUAAACCUUAAAACGAUUGUUGGUGCCUUGAAACACAUAAUCUCAUAACUGUUACCACUAACUCUCAACAAGAAAAAUAAGAUCUUUUGAUCAGAAGCAUUGUAUAAUGACAAACCUUGUUUUGAAGCAUUUUUGCCUAGAUGAGCAAAGCAAUCUGCAAUAUGAAACAAAAGUUAGCAUCUCAUCGAAAAUGUUUCUUAUCCAUUAGCAGCAAAUGAUAAUGAUAUCUAGUAAAAAUCAGACAACCUUUCUUUCAAUAAUCAGACUAAGUUAUUGUGUAGGGCAUGUCAGGCCACGACAGUAAAGAGAGACAGAAAAGGCAGACAUAGUCUCACUUCACCUUCUUAUUCAUAUGACACCACUACAGCAAGAGGCAACCAAGGUGAAAAAAAAAAAAAAAAACAAAGUGGAGGAUUCUUAGGUGCACCCUAUUGGUCAUACAGCAGGAUAUAUUCCCUAAUUUGUGAAAACUACAAAAAUUUGGAAGAUAUUCCCAAGAUGGCAGCACAAGUCACUCAGACAAGCAAGGCUCCUUAGAAAUAAUGAGAAUUUCACCAUAAUUUAAGGUAAAAAGUAAACAACAUUUUAUGAGAUGCAAAAACAAAUUGAAGAAAUAUACGAGAACUGACAUUGCAUAUACAAACUGGUAUAUAACUUACCUAUAGCUGCUGAUGGAGAUAUUGGGAAGUCAGAUAUCACCCCAUCAACAGAGAAGUUACCAUUGUCAACAAACUGAAGAUACUCAGCCACUGGAUCGUAGGAGUAAAUGAAGCUAAAUGGAACAUCAUUAUAAAACUCGGAUGCAAAAACUUCUAGCCCUUCUUUGUGAGCAUCCAAGACAACAGAGGUAGAAGAUAGCAAAUAAAGAUUUGCAUCUACAGGCCAGAUAUAAGACUUGGGUACAAUGAUUCCAGAGGCAAAUGUCUUGAUAAAUGUGAGAUUUUUUAAGAGAGAAUCAUAAGUCUGGUUGGUUGAAGGCUCCACCUCUUUCUGUCCUAGAAACCGGAAGACAAGCUUUGUUGUGCUUCUUCGGAAACGUGCUGCAAUACUUUGCAAGAAAGCCAUCUCCGGUGAUGAGAUAUAGCCAACAGUUACAUUCACAUUUCUUGUUACAGAAAGUAUAAAGUUUUUCAUACUCAGGUUGUGUUGUGUAUAGAAUGCAUCGUGCUGCAAAAAUAGAAAACCAUUCAAUUAAAUCCAAAAACAGGAAGAUGAAGUUAUACUAAUUUAAUACCGGGAUAAGAAGAGACAAGAGUGAAAAAGUAAGACAAAGGAAUUAUUAAGCAUUGAUUAAUCCUAUACCUGAAUAUUCAACCAAAAACCAGGAGGUUGUAAAUUUGUAGAUAUAUCCUGAACAGUCAUAAUUGGAUAACCAUUGCCAUCAAGCUUAUUGGAACGAGAAUAGACACCUUGAGUUACUGUCCAGAUAACAAAUUGCACAUUAGAAUGUGAUACAUCAAUCAGAUAGCAGAAAGCACGAAGAAUUUACUACUAGAGCAUUUCAAAGCAAGUCAAGAAACAAACUUACUGAAAAAAACAUGCUGAAUCUCAACAGGUAAUAAUCUUGACAUGACUGCUAGCACAAGCAUAUCAGAAUUCAGAAUUAAUUACCUAAUUAAUUGCAAAAUUGCUUGAACUGGGUUUUUAAUGGUCAGUGUUUGAUGAUUCAAAACUAAAACUUAUUUUGACAACCAUUAGAUGAACUUGGCACUCACAAGUUCAUUAACUAUCCAUCAAGCAAAGUUUGUGAAGAUAAUGAUAAUAAUGAGAAUGGCGACAAACACAAAACUAAUGAAUGAUAUCGAGAACAUUGAUGAUGACAGGAAAAAAAAAAGAAAACACAAAGAGGAUAAAUUGUGAGCUGAACUUACAAUAAACAUUUCCUAGAUCCUUGAGAGUGUAAUCAACAGAAAACCAUCCCUUGGUAGAGACCCCAUUAACAAGGUAAGCCUUCUGCCCACCCUUGUCAAAAUCUGCAAUGUCAGAAUUAUUAUCUAGCCUAAGAUCAGGAAAGCAAAUCCCAGCUGCAUCUUUUGUUAAUUGCACAUCACACCACAAGAUCGCAUCAGGUGGACUAGUUAAUAAAGCGAAUCUAUAAGCUUCAAGACUAGAGUCUGGAAACACUCCGGAAAAUCCACCACGUGCGAUGACAAAGGGUGCAUUCCCUGCAAAAGGAAUCAAAUAGUUUAAGCUUAUUGAACAAUAGAAAAUUAAAAAGAAAAAAUAACUUUAUAAAAUCUUUGUCUGAUAUGAAUGCUAAUGUUAAAUGCUUUUAUGCAUCUAUAGACUGAAAUGUUGUAGCUAACCACGCUGACAGGUGAGGAUAUCAAAAUUUUAACCCGCCCUGAAGAACGUCUACUUCUCAUAUUGUAAAAUGUUGGAACAUAUCGUAUUUGCUCUUCAUCAAUGUUCUUCAUAACCAAACAAAUUUCAGCAAAUUUUUUAGUUAAUUAUGCUAUUCAAGCUGUUUGGUAGAGAAAAAAAAAAAAAGGGAAACUGUUAAUAAAGAACAAAAACCCAUUAUAGUUUGAGAACGAAGACUCAAAAUAGAAAGCAAAAAUAUUCAAAUAAGUAAAUCACGAAAGACUUGAAGCCGCAUUUUCCAUCAAUUUGUUUCACUUUCUCAUAAAAAAAAAAGAAAAUUUUUAACUACUGAAUAGAUGAAAUAAAUAGAAAAUUUUUAAAAAGAAAAGGGAAAGAUUUCCACUUUGAGUAAGUUGGAAAUCAUUAAAACACGCGUUUUUUUAUCGUUUCUUCAACCUUUUAUCGGAAUGAAAGAGCAAUUAGACAAAAUUUUCUUUCUUUAAGGAAACAGGAGAAAAUCUGAAAAGCUUUGUCUUUCCUCCGCUUUCUUUGCAAACAAACCGAAAAUAUUAAAUAUUUAAGAAAAAAAAAGUGAAGCUCAAACUAGCAUAGUUUGAACAAUCUUCUCACCAUUUCCUUUUCCUGGAAACCAAAGAUAAACUAACUAAAAUUCAAACAGCUCAAGCAGCUCGAAGUAAGCUUAGAUUAAGCAAUUUACUCAUCAUUUCCUUCACUUUCGAGGAAACCAAACAAAAACAAGCUUACAAUUAAGUGAAACACAGGAAAAAUCGAACAUGUUUCCAGCUCAACAAACUAUUUUCUCAACAUUUCCUCCUCUUUCUCAGCAACCAAACAGAAAACUAACUAAAAAAAAGAAGAAGAAGAAACUAUAACCAAAAGAAAAUAAAUUUCUCUCAUCAAUUAAUUAAUUUAGAAAAAAAAAAACAAAGAAAGAAUCUACAUAAAAGAAACCCACCGCUUAGAGUCUGCCAACGAGAACGAGUAGAUCCCUGAGCAUAAACCAAAGCUACUGAAGCUAGCAAAGCUAGAACUACCAAAAUGGCAAGCGAAAUGCCACGUAAGCUUCCCAUUGCCGGAAAAAUCUCCUCCGCUGACAACCGAGCUCAGCUCCGCCACUGAUCGCCGCCGCCUGUUUGUUCCUGUCCUUCGUAAACCGUACAAGUUAGAGAGAGAACAGAGGAAAACACUGAACUUUUAGCUGGCUUUGUUUUUGCUGGUUUCAGAUAUUUAUGUUAUUAAAAUUUAAUUAAUUAUUAUUUUUAUCCAAUUAAAUGAGUUUCUCUCGACCGAAUUAUACGUUGUCCUCAGCUCGGCUCCAGCCGGUCUGAGGAAGGUUCUUGGCUUAGAGGUUUUCGUUCUAAGCUGUGGGACAAUGAUUGAGUGUGACCGCCUCCACAUUAUUAUCAUGAUCCCUAAAAUUCUAAACUUGAGGUUUUCUUUGUUUUUACUUUAUUUAUAUAUUUAAAGGUGAAUUUGUAUUUAGGAAAGUAAAAAGAAAUUUAUUACAAGAAUAAAUUUAAAAUUACAUGUAAUCUUUUAUGGUUCCUCUGUAUUUCUUUGGUAAUUAGAUGUGUCGUAAUGAUUUUGUGUCCGUCCGACGAAUUUAGAAACGAAAUAAAAAUAACGAAAAAUGGAGUUACCACCAAAAUUUUUUGGUUAGGUGUGAUUAGUCACCUAUUAAAAUAUAUUAUUUUAAUAAAAUCUUAAAAUUUAUUAAAAAGAUAAUUUCAUGGUCUGUGAAACAGUCUGAGUUCGAAAAUUGGUUACGAAUGGAGAAGGAUUAGCACCCCACGACGCCCGUUUAAAAAUGGUAUCAUUUAACAACGUGUUAUCUUUUGAUUUUAAUUAAAAAUAGUCUCAUUCUCAAUGUUUGAAAAAAUAAUUUUCUUGAUUUUUUUAUUUAUUGAAAAUUGGUUUGUUUUGUUUUAUUUUUAAAAAAUUAUUAUUCAAAUUUUAUUCGAGAAAAACAAAUUAAAAUUUUUUUAUUGAAAUAAUUCUUAAAAUGUUUCAGUACGUUGGUAACAUUAAAAGAAUUUUUUCUCACUUAGAGAUUUCUUAGGCAUCGCUUCUCGAAAUACCUUAUAAUCUUAUCUUAGGAGGUCCGAAUUUAUUUUUCGUAAAAAUUAUGUCAUGUAUGCAAUGCAGAAUAUUACCAUGUUGAUGCACAUAUUUUAUUCUCUUUUUUUUAUAAAAAAUUUAUUAAUUAUUUAAUUAAAUUAUUAUUAUUCUUUUUUUUUUAAGAAAAGGAGAACUUUUGUUAUAUUGAAGAUUUUAUAUAAAUAUUCUAAUACAAUGGUAAUAUUUAAAAAAAAAAUCCUCUCACCUAGGGAUUUCUUAAAGCAUCUCUACUCGGAAUACUUUUAGAAUCCUGUCAUCGGAUAAAAUUCCCUUUUUGUCUCAUUUUUUAUUACUUAUUCUUAAUUUAGUAAUUAGUUUUUAUUUAUUAUUAUUUUAUAAUAAAAAAGGAAAAUUUUUAUUUUAUUAAAAAUUUUUUAUAAAUACUCCAAUACGCUGGUAGUACUUAAAAAAAUCUUUUCACUUAAAGAUUUCGUAGGUAUCAUUACUCGAAAUACCUUUGAAUCUCAUUGUAGGAUAAAAAUUUCUUUUUCUUACAUUUUUUAUUAGUUUUGUAUUAUUAUUAUUAAAUGUAUUUUUGUUUUAUUUUGUUUUUAAAAUUUAUUUUUUAAAAAAAUUAACAAAAUUAUAAAAAUUUUAAUUACAAUUUCAUCAUUUAAUCUAACAAAUAUGAAUAUUUUAAUAUGUAUAAAUUUUAAUAAAAUAAUAUAUAAAAAAUAAGAAAAAAAAUUUUUUAAUUUUUUUUUACUUGAAUCGAACCUGUCAACAGUCCGAUCAACGCGCGAUUCGGUCCGACAGUUCGGGUGCGAUUUGGCUCGGUCUGGUUGGUUCAACGGUUGGGUACCGACUUGAUUCUAUCUGGGCAAUUCAAUUCUGGUUCAGUCGGACCGGUCAGAGGCUGACGAAAGAAGUUGGUAGCGGGUCGGGUGCACGGACCUCGGGUCAGGUCACGGGUUGAAGCGCGGAUCCUUAGGGUUCAAAACAACGUCGUUUUGGCCUUUAGGCCUCUAUAUAUAACUGAAUAUUUUUUUUGUUCAUUCUUUUUCUGUUUUAAAAAAAAAAAAAGAGGAGAGCUCUGGGGAGAGUUUCAGAGCUUCCUCGCCAUCAGGUAGCUUGACCGUUGCGUCAGUUGCCAUCGGGUCACCAGCGAUGGUCGUUGUCGGUGAUCGUCGAUGUUGAAAAAUUGUUGAAAUUCCUCUAAAUACUUCUCUCGACCUCCUGAGUUCAGAUCCACUGUCCUUUUUAGGAGAAAAAGCUCUGAUCGACGUAGAUCGAGAUUUAAAGUUUUCUAAGUUUUCUGUUUUUUUUUUUUUUUCAAAACCCGCACUGGUCGUUCUCUUUUUUUAUUGCAAGAAAGCUUUAGACGUGGGGUUCCUCAUCAAACGGUGAGGACUAUGUUUUUUUUUUUACAGGGUUCCCUUCCUUCUUCUUGUUUCCUCUCUUUCUUUUUCUUGUUUGGUCAGAAGCUCUAUUUAUAGAGCUCCAGUAGUGAAUGGCAUAAGGCUCGACAUGGGAUGCAAGCAUGAGCCCCAUGCUGCCUUUAUUUGUUUCUAUUUUAUUUGACAGUGAGGGUAAUGGAUAAGGUGUGGAUAGUAGGGUAAGGGGGAAUGGGUGGUAGGAUACCCCGGCACCAUUACCAUCCCCUAUUUUUUUUUGUUCUAUUUUUUUGGGGUAUCUUAUAUUUUGGUUUUUUUUGUAUUUUAUAUUUAAUAAUAUUAUUUUUUUUGUCGAACAAAUUUGAUGUCCACAGCUGUCUUUUUUUGUAUAUUGUUGAGAAUAAGAAAUAGGGCAAAGACAAAGACAAUAAUUUUAUCCGAAAUCCAAAAAGAUAUUUUUUUCUUUUCUUUUUCUCUUCUUUUUUUUUAACAUAAACUACUCAGAAAGUUUUUCUCAUUAAAUCGAAAAUGCUUCUCUCAUUUGAGGCUCGACAACUUUUAAAAAUUUAAAAUCUGAAAAAGACUCCUCUCAGCAGAGGCUCAACAAUUUUAAAAAUCUUAUCUUAAAAAACUUCUCUCAGCAGAGGCUCAACAACUUUAAAAAAUUCUCACAUUGAAAAAGGUUCAUCUCAGUAGGCGCUCAACGACUUUAAAAAUUCUCUUGAAAAAGCUCAUCUCAACAAAAUCUCAACAACUUUAAAAUCCAUCUUAAAAAAGCUCAUCUCAGUAGAGGGUCAACAACUUUAGAAUCUCAUUUGAAAAAGCUCCUCUCAGCAGAUGCUCAAUAACUUUAAAAUCUCAUCUGGAAAAGCUUUUCUCAACAGAGGCUCAAUAACUUUAAAAUUUCAUUUGAAAAGCUUCGCUCAGCAGAGGCUCAACAACUUUAAAAUUUCAUCUUAAAAAGCUCCUCUCAGUAGAGGUUCAACAACUUUAAAAUCUUAUUUGAAAAGCUCUUUUCAGCAGAGGCUCAACAACUUUAAAAAUCCAUCUUCAAAAGCUCCUUUCAGCAGAGGCUCAACAACUUUAAAAAUCCAUCAUGAAAAGCUCCUUUCAGCAGAGGCUUAACAACUUUAAAAUUUAAAAUAUGAAAUAGGUUCAUCUUAGCAGAGGCUCAACAACUUUAAAAUUUCAUCUUGAAAAAGCUUCUCUCAGCAGAGACUCAAUAACUUUAAAAAUCUCAUCUUGAAAAAGCUCCUCUCAACAGAGGCUUAACAACUUUAAAAAUCUAUCUGUUCUUCAAAUUGAGUUCUCAUUUUUGAACAAGUAAAUUUUUUUCUUUUGAAAUCUUUUAUUUGAUUAGGACAUGGAAAGUCUCUGUCCUCAUUAUUCAUAGAUACAUGUACUGAGUGCUCUAAAUGCAAUGCAUGUAAUACAAUCAAAAUUAUUCAUUGUGAUAAAAAGUUUUUCAAAAUCUCUCAUUUUUUGCUUCUUUUAUCAAAAUUUUUAAUAAUUGCCAUAUGAUCAAUCUGUUCUUAACAUCUAACUAUUGAAUUCUUUCCUACCAAAACUUUUUUUCAAAAGUCUACAACAUCAAUGACUUGUCAUGCUUUUUUCUUUCUUUUUCAUUUACCUUUGUCAACUUUUAAAAAAUAAUGCUAAGAUCUUUCAUGUUUAUUUUUCUUUUCAUUAUUUUAAGUCCAAGACCAAUAAAAUGCAAUCACACAUUUCUCCUAUUCGUAUGGUGGAUAAAAAAUAAGAAUAAAGAAAUGGAUAGGUGUUAUUUCCAAAAGAAAUAUAGUAUAUUUUAUUAGACUGAUAACAAGUGCAUGAUAAAUAUUUGAGCUGAAACAAAGGUACCUAAAUAAUGAUCAUAAGAUAAUCAUGUAUAAAAUAUUUCCAGAUUCUUUUUCUAAAACUAAAUUAGAUGAUUUCCUUGAUUCUUCAGAGUUUAUCAAACUACACUUACCUCUGUAUUAUAGAAUGAUGCUUCUUCUUCGCAUCCAAGCUAUUUUUUUCAGGUUUUCAACUUAGAUAAGUCAUUAUUUUUUAUUUUUUACUUUUUUUUUUCUCUUUUUUCUUUCAAGCAAAAUAUUUCUUCACAGAUCUGAGUUUAUCAGAGUAGGUAAAUCACUUUCGUUUAUCUCUGUCAAAAUCAAUGUCCCGUAAGAAAAGGUUUUUUUCAUCAUAUACGGGCCUUUUUAAUUUGGUGUCUAUUUUUUUUAAUUAUCAUAUUAAUUUGAAAGGAUCUUUUUCAGUACUAAAUCUCAUUCUCUAAAGUAAUAAGGAUGGAUUUUCUUAUCAUGUGCUCUCAUCAUCCUCUUUUGAUAUAAUUGAUCAUGACAAAGUGCUGUAAGUCUUUUCUUUUCAAUGAAGUUUAAUUGCUUGUAGUAAUUUAAACCCAUUCUACUUCCUCUAAUUUUACCUCCAUAAGGACUCUCAGCGAAAGAAUUUUCACUUCGACCAGUAGCAAAGUUUCCAUUCCAUAUACCAAAGAGAAUGAAGUGACCCCAGUAGAUAUUCAGACUGAUGUUCUAUAAGCAUGCAAAGCAAAAUAUAGCUUCUCAUGCUAAUCUUUAUAAGUAUCAAUCAUUUUUUUCAAGAUUCUUUUGAUAUUGUUGUUUGCAGCCUCUACUGCCCUAUUCAUCUUUAGAUGAUAUAGUGUCGAAUUACAGUGACAAAUCUUAAACUGAGUGUAAACUUUAUUUAUUAUUUUAUUGUUUAAAUUUUUAGCAUUAUAAAAAAUAAUUGUCUCUGAAAGCCUAUAUCUGUAUAUUAUCUCUUUUUUAUGAAAUUUACACACCACAGAUCGAGUCAUACUAGCAUAUGAUGCGACUUUUACCAAUUUUAUGAAGUAAUCAAUCAUCACAAAAAUGAAUCUAUGUUUAUUUGAAGCUUUUGGAGUGAUGUGACCGAUGACUUCCAUACCCUACAUAAAGAAUGGCCAUGAAAGAGCCAAAACAUGCAAUGUUGUUGGAGGAGUAUGAAUCUUAUCAGCAUAGAUCUGACACUUAUGGUAUUUUUUAGCAUAAUCAGUAUAGUCACUCUCCAUUAUUAACCAAUAGUAUCCAACCCUCAUAAUUUAUCUAGCCACUAUAUGAUCAUUUGCAUGUGCCUCAUAAACUUCAUCAUGCACUUCUUCAAUAAUCCUCUUCGUUUCAGUUGCAUUUACACACCUUAAGAGUAUUUGAUCUCGACCUCUUUUAUAGAGGAUGUCUUUAUUAAGAAAGAAACUCAUAACCAACCUUUAAAUAGUUCUCUUAUCAUUUUAUGUUACAUGUUCUGGGUAUUGCUGGCUUUUAAUGUAUUACAUGAUAUCAUGAUAUCAUGGCUUUCCAUCAACUUCUUUUCAAUACCUGAACAAUAUACUGGUUCAUCUUUUACAUCCAGCUUGAUAAGUUAUAUUUCAGCAUUUACAUUUAUUUUAAUCAUUACAGCUAGAGUAGCCAGUGCAUCAGCAAUUUGGUUUUCCUUUCUAGGCAAAUGCUCAAAUUGAACUUCUUUGAAUUGUUUUACCAAUUGAGAGAUGUACUUAUGGUAUCGUAUUAACUUAAAAUCUAUGGUUUCCCAUUCUCUUCACAAUUGAUAGAUGACUAGAGCUGAAUCUCUAAACACAUCUAAUACUUUGAUUUUCUUUUCAAUUGCUGUUUGUAGAUCCAUAACAUAAGCCUCAUACUCAGCCACAUUAUUUGUGCAAUUAAGAUUUAACCUGACUGUAAUGGGAUAAUAGUUCCUAUCAAGAGAUAUUGAAAUUACCUCAAUACCAUGACCCAAAGCAUUAGUAGCUCUAUUAAAAUACAUCUUCUAAGACUCUUCAACAGGUUCAUUUUUUUCAAUGCCAUCAUAUCUUCAUCAGGAAACUCCAGGUUCAUUGGUUCAUAAUUUUUGGUAGCACGAUCGACUAGAAACUUGGCUAUUGCAGUUCCUUUAAUAGCCUUUUGAGUCACAUAAAUAAUAUCAUAUUUUGAAAGCAUAACUUGCCAUCGCGCUAUCUUUUAUGUCAAUGAAGGCUUUUCAAAGAUAUACUUAAUAGGAUCUAGCUUUGCUAUAAGUCAAGUAGUGUGAUAAAGCAUGUAUUGUCUAAGUCUUCAAGUUAUUCAGGCUAAUGCAUAGCAUAUCUUCUCUAAUGGUAAAUACUUAGACUCAUAAUCAGUGAAUUUUUUGUUCAAGUAGUAUAUUGAUCAUUUUUUCCUGUUAGUUUUAUCUUUUUACCUCGAUACACAUCUCAUGAAAUUUUCAUGUACUGUUAAAUAUAAGAUCAAAGACUUUCUUGGAACAGGUGGUACCAAUAUAGGUGGAUUUGAUAAUUAUUCUUUGAUUUUAUCAAAAGUUUCUUGGCAUUCAUCAUUUCAUUCUCCGGGAUUAUAUUUUUUAAAAAACUUAAAAAUAAGAUCGCAUUUGUAAGUAAGUUGAAAGAUGAAACGAGCAAUAUAGUUCAGUCUCUCUAGGAAACCUCACAUUUCUUUUAGGAUACAAGGAAGAGAUAAGUUCUGGAUGACUUGUACCUUAUCCGAGUCUACUUCGAUUCCUCUUUCACUGACUACAAAGCCUAAUAGUUUUUUUUGAUUUGGUAUCAAAUAUACGUUUAGCAGGAUUCAACUUCAGCUAAAAUCUUCUCAACUUGUCAAAUAAUUUUUUUAGAUUGACUACAUGAUCUUCUCUUUCAUGAGAUUUCGUAAUCAUAAUAUUCAUAUAUACCUAUAUUUCUUUAUGCAUCAUGUCAUGAAAGAGAGUCAUCAUUACUCUUUGAUAAGUGACACCAGUAUUUUUUAACCCAAAAGGUAUGAUUUUGUAAUAGAAUAUCCCUCACAUGGUCACAAAUAUAGUUUUUUCCAUAUCAUCUUGAGCCAUCUUGAGCCAUCUUGAUCUAAUUAUAGCCUGAGAAGCCAUCCAUAAAAUAAAUGUGGAAUGCCUAGCAGUAUUAUCCAUUAAAGUAUAGAUGUAAGGUAGAUGAAAGUUAUCCUUAGGGCUUGUCCUAUUCAGAUCUCGAUAAUCAAUAUACAUUCUCACUUUUUCAUCUUUCUUAAAAAUUGGCACUAUGUUGGCUACCCAUUCAGGAUAUAUUACCACCUCUAAAAAUUCAGCAUCAAAUUGCUUUUUCAUUUUCUCUUUAAUUUUUAGCAGCAUCUUUGGUUUCAUGCACCUUAACUUUUACUGCAUCGAUUUACAUCUUGAUUUUAAAGGUAACUUGUACUUUACAAUAUCAGUGCUGAGUCCUGACAUAUCCCAAUAAGUCCACGUGAACACAUCUUCAUAUUCUCGAAGUAACUUUUUUAGCUUCUAUCUUUCAGCUGGUAAAAGAGAUAUACCAAUUUUAACCUCUUUUCUGUUUUUACCAUCUCUUAAAUUCACUAAUUCGAUAAUUUUUUGGUGGGAUUCAAUUGGCUUAUCUUCAUGUUCUAUUAAUUUUAACAAAUCAAGAGGUAGUGUGUAGUUAUCUAAAUCUUUCUCAUUAUCAAGUUCAUCAACACGAAUUAAGUUUUUGAAAUCAAAUCUGAGAUUAUUGCCAUGAUUAUCUUUGUGUUCAUUGUUUGGGACCCUGCAAAGAUAAGAUGAAGAGAAUAUUAGUACACAAAAAUAGAAUGACAAGAAAAUGAUGAAAAGAGAAGAAUGAAAAGUAAAAUAAAGAUAAAAAUAAAGAAAAAAUACGGAUGCAUUUUCUAAGUCUUUUAUUAAAAUGACAAACAUAAACACACCAUAAAAGAUCUCUUAAUACUCGUAGAAAGUAAUUAGGGAUUUAAAGUUUCACAGUACAUUACUUUUUUAAAGUUUUAAAGACAACAGACAACUAUAUAACUUUUCAAUUAUCCAGCUUAAAAUCUAGAAGAUAAGGGUACACGAAUAGCUUUUCACUUCGACUUUUCUUUUUUUCAUCAUCCUUUAUUUAAAUGGCCAGCUCUAAAAAUUCUUCUAUGAAUCUUGCACUUAGGACUCUCGAUAAAUCUGGAUAAAUAUAUCCUUCUGAGUGAAAAGAAUUAUAGAGGUAUGGAAUAACCAUAGGCUUUGACUCUGACUCAUAUCUUCCAAGAUUAACUAUCCUCUUAUCUCUUCUCUUAUUCACUAUUCUUAUUCUGUCCCCUCUUGUUGGCUUAUAUCCCAAGCCAAAUCUGUAUUUUUUUUUUAUAUAUGAUUAAUGGCUUUGUGAUUCCUUACAAGUUUUUCCCAAGUCUGGCUUCAAGUCACCAUCACAUCUUGGUAUGCUAUUUGACUACCAUUUUAGUUAUCGUAGACAAGUAUGAUGAAUACAAUUUAGAUCUUUCAGCUAUAUAUAUUAUAUUGGUAAUCUUAAAAGAUCUAUAAGAGCAUUCUAGAAGUUUAUCUGUUGAUUCCACAUAAGAAGUAUUUAUCAAUUGAGUUACCAAUAAAUCUUUUUUUCUUACCACACAUGUUAGCUUCCCUUCAACAAUGAAUUUGACUUUCUGAUGUAAUGAGAAUGGAAUAGCACCUGCUAUAUGGAUCCACGACCUACAUAAUAAAUAACUGUAUGAAAGAGAGAUGUCCAUGACUUAAAAUUUCACGUUAAAAGUGCAUAAGCCAAUCUGUAAUAGUAUUUUUAUGUCUUUCAGUACCUCUCUUUGGGUUCCAUCAAAAGCUCUCACUAUCAUAUGAUUAGGUUUCAUAUAAGAUCCAUCAAUAAGAUAACAUUGAUAGAUGAGCCAUUAUCAAUCAAAACUUUAACCAUUAUAUGACAUUUACAUUUCACAGUAAUAUGAAGAGCCUUGGUACUUUCUUGACUUUCAAGAAAAAUCUCUUCAUCACUAAAAGAGAUAUAAUUUGAAAUUAUCAUAUUGCUAACAAGUUGUCCCACAUAUUCAACAGAAGCAUUGUAAGAUACAUAUGCUUGAUUUAGCACUUUUAGCAAAGCAUUACGGUGUGACUCUAUACUAAACAAUAAUGAUAGUAAAAUUCUAACUGACAUCUUGUUAAGCUAUUCUACCAUGCUAUACUCGCUAUGUUUUAUUAACUUUAAAAAUUUACAUGUUUCACUUUCAGAGAUUGGCUUUUAAGAUUCUUUUUUUGGGGCUACAUCAAGAUCACUCUGACUUUUUUUCUUUUCUUACCUUGGCUUUAUCUUUUUUAGCUUUUUCUAGAGCCUCUGGGGUAUAACACCUCCCAUUUCGAGUCAUGCCUCCUACAUCUAUUAUGUUUACAGUAUCUGGAUUGACUACGAUAUCACAAUCAUAUUUUCACGAUAUUACUUUAUCAUUCUGAUAUAAAAAAGGACCAGAAACUUUAAUUGUUACCAUGAUCAAGAGACUGGCUUUUUUAGCUUCAAUGUUGGCUUCUCAUCAUAAUAGAUAGUUAUCGAUCUAUGCACAAACUUAUUCUUUAAAUUAAUGGUAGACAUUUCAGCUUUCAUCAACUCUUUUCUUUCUUAGUAAAACUUUAUUCAAUCUAUAUCCAUCAACUUUUACACCUUUUGACAAAAUUGGUGAUAAUUCUUGAUAAAAUACCCUAGAAUACCUCUGUGAUAAUUGUAGCUUUCAGUUAAGUUAAUCACUUUAGAGUAAUUUUGAGGUUCUAUUGGCUUCAACAUGUCAACUUUGACCAAGACUUUGAACACCUUAGCCAUCAGAGUUUUAACUUAUUUAUUUUUUUCCUUCACAUGACUUCUUUGCCCAUCAAUUAAGGUAUUUAUUAAUGGUCUGGUAUGAUUUGGUAGAGGGUUUUCAUUAACAUUUGGAGUCCCUUGUUGGUUGGUAUCAAAGUUUAAUACCCUUUCAUUGAUUAACCAUUGCAUUUUAUGCUUCAAAGCAGUAUAAUUCUUAGUGGAAUGACCUGGAUUCUCAUAGUGAUAAUCACAAUAUGCAUUGGGGUCAUACCAUUUGAAAAAUAAAGGUUUCAAGGGUUCAACGAUAACAAGAACAAACAGAUAUUUCUCAACAAGUCGAGGAUACAAAUCUAUGUAUGUUAUGGGAAUGAGAUCGAAAGUGAUUUUUUCUUGGGUAUUUCUCAGGGCUCUUAAAUCACUAUUAAGACUAGGUCUCCAUUCUGAUCUGGUAGGUGCAGCAGGAUGGUUGUAGGUAGGUGUCCGAAAGGUUGGUUGAAAACGAGGUAGAUAAGCUGGUUAUGAUAAUGAUUAGUAUGGUUGAUAUGGAUGAGGGAUGGAUGUAACAUGAUUUACGAAAGGGUAAUGGGUCUAGUAGACUGGUACAAAAUAAGGUGUGAAACUUUUGAACUAUUGCUCCAUAUAAUUCAUUGUUUGAGCUUCAUUCUCUUUCUUUUUAGGAGCUCUGCCUUUUUUACUCCACUUAUCUUUCCUACUUCGAGCUUAACAUUCUUUAUGGUAUUUUUAAUGAUUUUACCUGAUGUCACCAUAUCUGUAAAGUUUUUGGUUGCAUUGCCUAUUAAUCUCUCAUAGUAUGGUACUUUCAGGGUGUUCACAAAUAAAAUAGUUAUUUUUUUCUCAGUGAGGAGAAGUUGAACUUGUGCAGCUAUAUCUCUUCAUCUUUGUGCAUAUUCUUUGAAGCUCUCAAUUUUUUUUUCACACCUUGUAAAGAUAGACGAUCUGAAGCCAAAUCUCUAACAUGUUGAUAUUAUGCAAGAAAUACCCUUAUGAGCUCUCGCCAGAAAUGAAUACGAGUCAUGUCUAGUUAGAUAUACCAUUUAACUAUAGAUCUUGUAAGGUUAUCUUGAAAUAUAUGCAUCAAUAACUUCUCAUCAUGAGUAUAUGCUACCAUCUUACGAUAAUACAUAGUGAUAUGAGUCAUUGAAUAUUUCGUGUCAUCAUAUUUUUCAAAUUCAAGAACCUUAAAUUUUGAUGAAAUGACCACAUCUAUGACUAAACAAAGGUCAACUGUAUCGUAAAGCCAUAAAAAUUCAUUCCCUCUACAGUCCUAAGCCUUUCUUUCAAUAACUUCAUAUUCUCUUAGGCACUGAUAUCUUUUACUUUUUCAGAUAUAUUUAUCCCUAGCUUUUCUCUCUUUUUGGGAUCAUCUAAAUCAGGAACUAAGAUCGACUCAGGUGAUUUUUUCAUCAUGACAGGAUUAAUAAAAUUUUAAAAUUAUCUUAAAACAUGUGUGGAUGUCAUUCUUGGAUAAAGAUUGGGAUAUCUACCGAGAGUAGAAAUUGAUACUCUAGUUCCUUGAGAGGUUGAGUCGAUCAUGGCUCAAACCCUAGAGGAUAAACAGGAUCUAUCAUAUCUGACGAUUACUCUUAAAAGCUAAGAUUUUCUUCCACUGCUUUUCUCUUAUCAAAUUUUUUGAGCAUAUCCAUUAUUGUACUAAGAUCUUCUCUUAGUUCUUUUUAAACUUUUUCUAUUCUCUCAAAUCGACUAACAUGUUCUUGCUUCAUGAUUCUUGUCUGAGUCCUGGUUUUGUAUGAAUGAUGAUAGGUUACGUCAAAAUUUUUGAUAGGUAAGCUAUUCUUGAACCUUUAUAACCACAAAGUUUUUUUUAAUUUAAAAAAAAAAAUUAGAAUGCUAUAUGUUAAAAUUUUUAUUUUUUACUUAUUUUAUAAAAAAUGAUGUACAUGAGACAUGAAUGCAAGUGAGAGAUAUUUACUUUUGGAUAAAUUUCAACAUUAAAAAUUUUUAUUGAUUUCAUACAACUUUUAUUACAUGAGAUUUACCAUUUUAGAGUCAUAUCCAUAGAAGCAUUUGACUUGUUCAUAAUGGUCUUUUGCCUCAUCUAAAAAGUUCACUAGGCGUUGUCCACAUUCUGCUAUAGGAUUGACAUCUCUUUUUAAUGCUUCUACCUUUUCAACCAUCUCUCAUGCUUUUUUUAUUACCUUGCAAACUUGAUUAGUCAAGUGUUUUAUAUAUUAUUACCUCCCUAAGCUUUCUACUUUCAUCUCAUGUGAGCAUCCCUUUUUGAAUCACAUGUGAAAAUUCAAUCUUUUUUUCUUCUAUGCCACUUAUAUAUUAUUGCUGAAAUAUGACUCUUAUGGUCUUGUAGUUAUAUCUCUAACCUUUGGAUCACCUGGUGAAGUGAUUUUUUUUUAUUCAAUACUUUAAAGUGCUUUCUUCUCUUUUUUACGAGCAUGACUUUCAAUCUUUCCUUUUCGUUUUAGCAUUCUACCAAUCUUGCUGAGGUUAUAGAGUAUAAUCCCUUCUAAUUUUGAUAUUCUUGAAAAAUUUCGGUGGUCUCCUCUUGUUUUUCUUAAGCUUUACCCUCUCAUUGGUUCAUUUCCUCUCGAAGCUCAUCCAUUUCACGUUGUUGACUAUGGUAAGACUUGGUGACUUUUUCAGUUUUGAAUUGGACUCGUAACCUUUUGUUUUCCUGAUGUAGAUCUUUCAAAUCAUUAUUAACCAGAUCUCAUUUUUUUAUGACUUUUUCUAAUCUGGUUUCUUGUAUCUCUGCUUCAUAUUUUAAUUACUUUACUUUCUCAUGGAGUCUCAAAUUUUUUCUUUUUAUUUUUUUUUAGUUUUUAAUUCUUUCUUGACAAGCUCAACUUUUGAUAAUUGUACCUCUUUUAAAAAAUUAACCAAUUGAUAUGAGCUGUCAUCAAGAAGGAGUAUUAUGUCUCUAAGCCACUUUACUUUCCAAAUCGAUAAUCAAAAGUGACUUUAUCGAUAAGAGGCCCCAAUCUCAUUUUUCGUAUUUUUUUUCAUACUUAAAUCAAUUGCUCUGAGGUUCUUGAUGGAUUCGAUUUUCCAUAAAUGAAUUUUACUUGGACCAUGCCAUAAGUAGUAAGAACAAACUACUUUACAUAAAAUUACCUAAGCACCAUUAAUGGAGCAUAACUUAUAACACCCCAUAACCCUAAUAACGGUAUCCAUGGCUCAUUUCCUCCAUGAUACAACAAGGGCACACGAGACAUCCGAGGUGCCAUCCAUUCGAUUUUAUCCCCAAUAAGCCUUCGUAAGAAAAAGACACACUCUUCUUUAGUCUUCAAUGUCGGCCAUUGACUUUUACAAAACUUUUCGAUUGGUGUCUUAUUUCAAAAAUAUGGUUUCAAAAAUGCACUCUUCCCACACUUGAAAUGACUUCUAACCCAUACAUAUAAUUGAGAUGCAUAUCCUAUGAAUCAUCUUUUUUCAUUUCGUCGAUAAAAAUUCAAUGACCUGAUGAUUUCAGUUAGAACUACUAGAGCGAAAUUAAUUGUUUGGGUUUUAAUUUGCUCAAAAAAGUCUACUACAGUUAUCUCAAUGUAACCCAAAGUUUUCAGAUAAAUUAUCAUGUCAUACAAUGCUAGAACAAACACAAUCAUACCUUGAUCAUCAUUUAAAUGCUCCUGAAUGAAGUUUUAAAGAAAGUCCCAAUAGACGUCGAGAUGUUCACCUUUAGGCUUCACAAAAGAAUCAAUGGUUUCUAUUUUGACCCUCAUAAGCUUGGCUAACUUUUUACGAUAACCUGAUUUUAACUUUAGGGUAAAUACUUUAUCUGGACAUAAUAGUUCUAUCUCGAGUAAAAUCGAAUACUCAUCGAUAGUUGGCAUCAAAUCUUUCUGAUUAAAAGUGAAGCAUCUAUAGGAUGGAUCCCAAAACUAUAUAGCUCUUUUGACCAGCUGUUCAUCAAUCAUUACUGAAAUGAGGGAUGUAAUUUAUCCAUACUUUUUACAAAAGCUUUUUUUUUCUUUAUUUAAUUGACCCCAGAUAGUGGCUAAGUCUUCUAAAUCAUUUUGUGUAAGAUCUAAAUGUAUUUUUUUGGGUAAUUCAGACAUAUAACCGGUAGGCAAACAAUCUUCACUCUUUUGUUGGGCUUUUUUUUACCAAACAUGUACUUCAUUAUAUGACUCACAUGAGACACUAACUGAAGAUGAGCAAAUUCGUAGUUCUAUAAGAUCCAUGAAAACUUCUUAGGAGAAAUAUGUCCUAGAGCAAAUAUCUUAUGCAAAACUGUAUGGUAUGAUUAAUGUAAAAAAGAAAAAAAAAUGAAGCAAAAUUGAGUUAGUGCGAGAAUGUGAUUUGAAAAAAAUAUUUUUUUAGUGUUGUUUUUUGUGUUUUGAGAUUUUUUAUUUGUUUUAUUUUGUUUUGUAUUAUACACAACUUUUAUUCUUAGGUAUUUUCUACAAAAAGGUGGAUAAGGCUCUACAUAAGGCUGAUUUUCUAGGCUUAUUAUAUGCUAAGUUUGGAUUAACAAUGUCUAAAGGUUCUUAAAUUAUUCCUCAUUGUCAUCCAUGUUGGACUAGUAAGGCACCCUGAUCCUCAUCCAUUACAGGUUACGAAUAGAAAAGGAUUCAAUUCGAAUGAAAGUAUUUCGCUUGUCAUUACGAAGGUUAUCACCUCACGAGGGCAUAGGUACUUUACUUUCUCCUAUAAAAGACGAAGCCCGGGUAUAGAGCUCAUGCAUGAGAUGUAUCAUGCCAUUGUGUGUAAAUAUAUCAUAAUUUAAUAUAUACAAAAAAAAAUAAAACAUAAGAGGCAUAGUGAAAAAAAUGUGUGUGAAUUUUUUUGCUUUUUAUUUUCGAUUUGUUUUGAUUUUUUUUUUACCUUUUUUUAUUGAAAAUGAAAAAUAAAAAUCUAAGAAAUUGAUUAAGACUGUUUAAAUCAAAAUUUAAGGAUAACAAGUAGUUAAUUUUGGCCUGACUUUUGGCCUGACUCUCGAAAAUAAAAGAUCGUCCCCAGUGGAGUUGUCAAGCUAUCGUAACGAUUUUAUGUCCGUCCGACGAAUUUAGAAAUGAAAUAAAAAUAACGAAACAUGGAGUCGCCACAAAUUUUUUUUGGCUAGGUGCGAUUGGUCACCUAUUAAAACAUAUUCUUUUAAUGAAAUCUUAAAAUUAAUUAAAAUUUAUUAAAAAGAUAAUUUCAUGGUCUACAAAACAGUUUGAGUUCGGGAGUCAGUUACGCGUAGGGAAGGUUAGCACUCCCACGAUGCCUGUUUAAAAACAGUACCACUUAACUACGUGUUAUCCUUUGAUUUUAUUAAAAAUAGUCUCAUUCUCAAUGUUUGAAAAAAUAAUUUUCUUGAUUUUUUUAUUUAUUAGAAAUUGGUUUGUUUUGUUUUAUUUUUAAAAAAUUAUUAUUCAAAUUUUAUUCGAAAAAAAUAAAUUAGAACCUUUUUAUUGAAAUAAUUCUUAAAAUAUUUUAGUACGUUGGUAACAUUAGAAGAAUUUUUUUCUCAUCUAGAGAUUUCUUAGACAUCGCUUUUCGAAAUACCUUAAAAUCUCAUCUUAGGAGGUCCGAAUUUAUUUUUCGUAAAAAUUAUGUUAUGUAUGCGAUGCAGAAUGUUAUCAUAUUGAUGCAUACAUUUUAUUCUCUUUUUUUAAAAAAUUUUAUUAAUUAUUUAAUUUAAUUAUUAUUAUUCUCUUUUUUUUAAGAAAAGGAGAACUUUUGUUAUAUUGAAGAUUUUAUAUAAAUAUUUCAAUUCAAUGGUAAUAUUUAAAAAAAAAUCCUCUCAUCUAGAGAUAUCUUAAAGCAUCUAUACUCGAAAUACUUUUAGAAUCCUGUCAUCGAAUAAAUUUUUUUUAUCUCAUUUUUUAUUACUUAUUCUUAAUUUAUUAAUUAGUUUUUAUUUAUUAUUAUUUUAUAAUAAAAAAAAGAAAAUUUUUAUUUUAUUGAAAAUUUUUUAUAAAUACUCCAAUACGUUGGUAGUACUAAAAAAAAUCUUUUCAUCUAAAGAUUUCGGAGGUAUCACUACUCGGAAUACCUUUGAAUCUCAUCAUCGGAUAAAAAUUUCUUUUUCUUACAUUUUUUAUUAGUUUUGUAUUAUUAUUAUUAAAUUUAUUUUUAUUUUAUUUUGUUUUUAAAGUUUAUUUUUUUUAAAAAAUUAACAAAAUUAUAAAAAUUUUAAUUACAAUUUCAUCAUUUAAUCUAACAAAUAUUAAUAUUUAAUAUGCAUAAAUUUUAAUAAAAUAAUAUAUAAAAAAUAAGAAAAAAUUCAGAAAAAAAUUUUACUUGAAUCGGACCGACCAAUGGUCCGGUCAACACGUAGUUCGAUCUGACGAUUCGGGUGUGAUUCGACUCAGUCUGGGCGUGGUCUGAUUGGUUUAGCGGUUUGAUACCGAUUCAGUACCGAUUCAAUUCGGUCUGGGCGGUUCAGUUUCGGUUCAAUCGUACCAAUCAGAGGUUGACGAAUGAAGUGGAUCGCAGGUUGGGUGGCAAUGGUGCCGUAUCCCCUAUUUUUUUUUGUUCUAUUUUUUUUAUAUUGUAUUUUGGUAUUUUUUGUAUUUUGUAUUUAAUAAUAUAUAUAUUUUUUGUCAGACAAAUUUGAUAUCCACAAGAUGCAAUUAAAAAAAGUAGUCAAAAGCCUUAUUUAAAUAUGUACUGAAUCGAAUAUGAACAAGUUUUAUGUAUUUAUAAUAUAUUUAUUUAAUUAAUGAAUUUUGAAAUAUUAUUCGUGAUCGUUUUUUAGUUUAAAACAAAUAUAAAUAAAUAAAAAUCGAAUAUGUUCAUAAAUUGUUUAUCAAAUGUUAUAUUUAUUUACACACUUGAAUGUAAGCAAAUUAAACAUAAACAAAUAAAUGAAUUUUUUCUAUAUUUGUUAUCUAUUUAUUUGAUCAAUGAAUUUUGAAAUAUUAUUUAUAAUUAUUUAUUCAGUUUAAUAAACAACAUAAUCGAAUAAAAAAUGAUCUUAUUCACAAAUUAUUUAUCUAAUAUUUUUUUCGUUUACACUUUUAAUCUUGUCACAAUAAUAGAAUGGUAAUUUAUUAUUACAUGCACCCUACAAAUAAAAUAUAUCUAACUAAAGCAACAAUUUGACUGCGUUUUCUAUUUAGUACUAUUAUUUUUUUCAACUUAGGGUAAUUAAUUUUUUUUAACAAUAAAUAGUAUAUACAAAUAUCAAUAUCAAGUUUUGCAUUAGAACAAUUAUGUUGAUGGUAUUUUUGGUACAGAUGAGUUGGAAACUAUAUGGAGAAUGAUCUAUACUUGUAAUAAAAAAAUACGAUUAAAGGACACUAGAGUUGGUUUUUUAGGAUGCUCUCCUCUCAAGUUAAUUAAGUGUUUAGAUUUUUUGGAAUGAUAAGAUAAAUUGUAGAAUAUGUGUGAAAAGCUUAGAGGAGAAAGGUUUAAAUUUAUCAUACUUGGACUUAUUUUUUUACCUUUUAUAUGAAAUAAUAGAUAGUGAUAUAAUUGAUAUUGUUGGUAGUUGAUGAAAAAUUAAUGCGGAACUCGAAAAAGAGCCAUUAAGUGAGUAUAGGCUCAUUUAAUAAUCCCAAAGCAACCUAGAUUACCUUUAAUGAUUAUAAACAAAUUAAAAGUUAGUUGAUAUGUUGUGAGAUGAUGUUACGAUAAAACAUUAGUAGUAAUAAUUGGGUAAUCCUAUUUUGGAUAAAUGAGUGGAGAUAAGUUCAUUUUAUGGCGAGAGGUUUAGGUAUUGAUCAUUUUCAAUGUAACGUGUCAAUCAAGCAUAUAUCAACUCGAUGAGUGUGAAUGUUGACUUUAUUGAUUAUUAAGUGGAUAUAAUAGAUUAUAAAUUUAAAUUAUGUAUUAAAUAUUAAAAAAAGUCUUUUUAAUGUUAAUUUAAUAAUAAAAAGUUAAACCUUUCGUAAAGAAAAUGAAGUGUUCUACAAAAAUUAACUCUUUUGUAAAUUCAAAACCUUGUAUAUAAUAAUUUGUUCAUAAAUGUAACGAUUGUAAGAAAUUAGUUUUUUUAAACUUAAAUAAUAAAAAUAUUAACUUUAAAGGUACAUGACAUGUAUUUGAUGGUCUGUUUUAAAAUCACAUUAUCAUAAUUUAAUUUUUUUAAAUAAGUUCAUAUAUUUUUAUUAUAUCAAAAUAAGCUUAUAUUCUUUAUUUAUAUUCAAAUAAAAUUUAUUUCAAACAAAAUAUUGAUUCAUGUUAAGAACUUAUUUAUAUACAAAUUAAAAAUUAAAAGUUUAUUUGAAUAUAAAUUAAAGGUUAAAAGUUUAUUUUGAUUUAAUAAAAAUAUAAAGAUUUACCUAAAUAAAACUAAUAAAACUCAAGGAUCCUUUUAUUAUUUUAGCCAUUUUUCUUUUCUUAUACAUAAAAAAACAAAAACAUCAACAAGAUUAAUCCAAUUAAUAAGAAGAAAAGUUUCAUUUUCUUUCCAAUUAAGUUCGAUCUUCGAAGAACAUUUAGAGAAUAAAAUCUUGGAUGCAUUAGAUUUAACUUGGUAAUUCAUUUUUUUUUGUAUUUAUUUUAUAUUAAAUAUAUGUAAAAUAUUAAAAAUUUUAUAUUAUAAUUUAUAUUGAGACUUUAAAUUUACACAAUUUUUUUCAAAAUUCACAUGUAAAUUUGUUAAAAUUUUAAAUUAUACUACUUUCAUAUUUUUUUUUGUCUGAUUUCAUAUAAUAUCAUUGUAUUAUGUUUUAAAUUAUUAAAUUUAAUUAAAUUAAUAUAAAAAAUAUAUUCUUAAAAUUAUUAAAAAAUUAAAUCCAAACAAAUAAAAGAUAUCAAUUGGUAUUACAAAAAUAGACAAACAAAAAAAAAAAGAAGAAAUUAUCAUAGUAAUAAUGAGAUCCGAAUUAGAAACUUGGAUCAGACUCUUUCUCAGUAAAUAUUUUCCACUGCCAUGAUGGUCUGAAAUUUCAUGAAAUUAAAACCAAUAAUAACAACUGCAAAUGUCCUGACUUGCACCAAUUAGAGGGCCAGCCGAUCCCAGCCAUUGAAUGUCUGAACUGAACCAGUCAAAAGUACUGGACCCACUUUCUUUUUUUUCAUGGCUCGAGCCUUCCAACCCAAGCCAGCAACCGGAUGAAGUGGAGGGUAGAAGUGAAAAAUUUUAAAAUUAAACAUUGAUUUAAAAUUAUAAUAUUUGAAUAAGUAUGGUUUAAUUUUUUUUAUAUUUAAAUUAAAUUUAAAUAUUAAAUUUAUAUAUAAAAUUCCAAUCAAAUUUUAAAUUAAAAAUUAAAAAAAAUUAAAUUAAAUCAAAUUAUAUAUUUUUUAAAGUUUUAUACGUAUUUUAAAUUUUUAUAAAUAAAAUAAUUAUUUUAUAUUUAAAUUUAUUUAAUAAUAUUAAAAAUUAUAUUAAAAUAAUAUAUAAAUAUUUUAAAUUUAAAUUUAAAACUUAAAACCAAAUUUGUAAAAUUCAUAUCAAAUUAUAUGAAAAUUCAAUUUAAAUUCAAAUAAAAUUUUAAAAAUUUAUAAUUUUAUAUAUUAUUUAAAAUCGAAUCAAAUUUAUUUUCAGAGUGCACCACAAAGUCGAUCAUUAAGAAGAUGGUGGGGUCCACAGCAGUUCCCCAUGGUCAAAGCCAGCACCGUGGGGUCAACCAAACGCGCAAAAACGGUCACCUUCCAAGGUGGACCCCACCAGCCCACCGCAAGGAGGGACCCCACCAGCCCACCACAAGGAGGAAAAAAUGGCUAAAAUUUGUCGCAAAGUGGGAAAUUAAUAUAAAAUCUUGAGGAUGAAAUUGAAAGAUUUGACAAACUGUGUGUUUACACUUAGGAUUUUGAAGGGUUGACCUUGAGUCAAUGCAUAAGCACCAAAUUGUGUUUUGGUUUAAAUUGAUGGUUAUUGAUAGUUAAAAGUUAUUCUUUUGGAAAAAAUUUUUCAUUUUCAUUUCUAUUGUGAAAUAUCUUUCAUACUCAAUCCAAGCAAUUCUAGAAGACAAAAAAAAUAAAAACAAAAACAAAAACCUUGCAAAAAAAGUUAAAAUUCUCAUAACUACCCUAAACCCUAAGUUCAAUAAUUCAAUUUGGGAUAUAAUUAUACUUUUGUUAAAUUUUAAUAAUUAAAAUUAAGAAUUCAAUAUUUUAUCAUUAGGUCAUAUGAUUGUUGUAAUAAUUUUAAAAUGUUAAUUAUUGUAUAUUAGAAGAAUUUAAUUUUUCAAAUAAAUGUUUUAAAAUACAUAAAUUAGACAAUAAUAUAUAUAUUUUAUACCGUUUUUAAGGAUUUAAUAGCGGUAAUUAUUAUUUCAUGUAUGUUUUUAUAGAUUGAUCAAAAUAUAAAUUAAUUCAUCCAAUAAAAAUAAUUACAAAAGGAAAAAGGUUCCAUUUGUUUGUUUAUAUAUAUAUAUAUAAAGUAGUAUUUAUACCAUGUUCUCUCUGUUCAUUAUUAUAAAUUAAAUUAGUGAACCCUUUGUUCAUUAUUAUCUAAAGCAAAACAUAAAUAAUUCUAAGUUACAAAAAGAGGGUCAAGGCAUUGGAAAAGAAUCACACUUUAAACAUAAACAAAUUACGUGAAAAGUAGCCUUGAUGCAAGUUGUUAAGAUUUAAAAUUUAAAUACAAAAUAUUCAUAUUCAAAUUUUUAUGAUUUUUUAUUGAUAGAUAAUUUAUAAAUUUAAAAAUUUUAAAAAACCUGUAAAUUUCUUAAUGAGUUGAUGAUUAUAUAAAAAAAUUUAUUACUUUAUUUACAUUUGCUUGCUUUCCAAACUGUGAUGCCAUGCCACAUCUGUAGUCUUUACUUUCUUUUAGUCACUUUCAUUAAAAUAGUUUUAUGCUUUUUCAGGCACUUUCAUGAAAGUGGACUUGAAUCUUAGUCAAAAAAAUAGGCUGGCUUUAUUAGAAGACUAUACUUUUCAAGCUUUUGCAAGUCAAUUUUUACUAAUUUUUCAUUUUUUUUUCCAUCUCAAUUGCCCCAUUGGUCUUCCCUCGUGAUUCUUACCAAUUCAGCUUUUUUGCAAAAUUUUUUUAGUUAAUUACAAAUUUAAUAUGUAAAUUUGAAAAACUAUAUAUAAAUUGAUUCUUAUUUUUAAUACAUUCAAUUUAAAAAAUAAAUCAUAAUGAACAAAUAACUCUUAAAAUAAACGUUAAUUCGAAUAUUACAUUAAAAAUUUUAUUAUAAUUUAACUAUCAUUUACAAAGUUAUAUACAAAAUAAAUAUUUUGAUAUAUAUGAUGAGGAAGGAAGUUUUCUCUUGCAUAUAAUUCCAAUGUCACCACAUUGGAUUAAUAAAGAAAUAUGAUGACAUGGAAGGGAAUUAUUGGUCCACAUCAGCAUAAUGAUUGUGAAAGAGGUUGCUUCUUAACGAUUGGAACACAAAAAGAUAGAGAGCACUACUAAAUUUCAUGUAGUGUAUUUUGGGGUAGUGGUCCUAGAUAGUGUAGGGCCCUUGAAUACUAAAGACUUGUUCAAAGGAAACGGACUCUCCACUUUGGUCUUUGGAUUUAUAUGAUUUCAAGCAACAAUUUUCUUUUCCAAUAUUACUUUGUUUUGAAUUAUCUAAAAAAAUCUAACAAAUCGUUCGUGCAAUCAAUUUUAAAAAUAAUAUUUAAUAAAUUUAAAAUUUAUUAUUUUAUUUUUAAAAAUAUUAUAUUAAAUUAAUAUAUAAAAAUAAAAAUUUAAAUUUCAUAAAUAAAUAAAUCAAAUCAAAAAUUUAUUAUUUUAUUUUUAAAAUAUUAUAUUAAAUUAAUAUAUAAAAUAAAAAUUUUAAAUUUCAUAAAUAAAUAAAUCAAAUCAAACAAAUAAAAUUUAAUUUAAUUCAAAUCAAAUCAUAUAAAAAUUUAAUUUAAAUUUAAAUAAAAUUAUAAAAAAUUAUAAUAUUAUAUAAUAUAAAAAAUUUAAAUUAAAUUUAAUUCGAAUCAUUAUCACUCUUAAAAUUUUAUCCCUCUUUGUUUUGAAAUCUGGUUGGAGAUAUUGGUGUCCGAAAGUGUUGUUCGCACAAUUCGUGUAUCAAAAGGAGAUAUAGAUUCAUGCCAGCCAAUAGCAGCUCUGAAAGAAAUGUUAAUGGACAGGUGGGAAUAGCGUUGAUGACCAAGUCUGUCAGGUGAUGGCAUCAUAAAAAAAGCAACAAGGAAACUGAUUGAAAUCACUGGCUUGGGUAUUCUGACAAAAGUGGUCCCUUUUUUUUUACAUCAAAAAGUGCAAGCCAUUAGCUAUAGUUAUUUUAUAUAAAAAUUCGUAUAUUAAAAUUUAUAUUAUAUUUUAUAUAAAAAUUAUAUCAUAAUUUAUAUUAAUAUAAAAUAUAAAAUAUAAUUUUUUAUUUUAUUAAAUUUAUAUAUAAUUAUUAUUAUAAUUUUAAAUUAUGUCACAUUUAAAUUUUAUUUUAAUAUCAUAUUCAUAUCAUAUUAUUAUAUCAUAUUUGAUUAUUUGAUUUAUUUAAUAGUUUGUAUUAUAACAAAGAGAAAUCUAUGUAGGAGAAGGCCUCAACUUGCCUUGAUUAAAAUUGAAUCCUAUAGAAAAUUUCUUUUUAUAUAUUUGAAAUUGUCAAUAUUUAAAAUCCAAUUAAAGGUCACUAGUCAUAAUAAAAAUAUUUACUAGAUAUAUAAAAAAAAAUUAAAACUAAAAAUGAUAAUAAAGUGAAUAUUCAUUAUUUUGUAAGUAUCCAUAUAUGAAUUUAUUUAAUAUUUAUAAUAUUUAAAUCCGUUUAGGUUUAAUAUUAUUAUCCAAAUCUAAAUCUAUUUAAAUAAGUACUAUCUGUUUAAGUAUUCGAAUCUAAUAAAAUAUUUGUUUAUUUAAAUUUUUUAUCAAAAUACAAAAUGACCAAUAAUUUAAUUUAAAAUUUAAGUUUACUUUUAAUUAAUAACAAAUAAAAGUUAUUUGUUAAGGUUCGAAACUUUAAUAAACAUAAAGUUUUAUAAAUUUUAUAUAUAUAAAUAGAUAAUGAAUUUGAAUAUCUGUUAUUAUUCAUUAAAAUUUAAAUGGAUUCAAAUAUUAGAUACUCAAUAAAUAUUAUUCAUAUCUUACUUGAAUUUAUUAUGAAUAGUAAAUUUUUUAUUCAAAUUUAAUCAUUUGUUUAUAAUUAUCUAAAUUUAAUAUAAACGGAUCGAAUAAUAACAGAUAUCUUAUUAGUUACUAUCCAUUGUUUUCCCCAAUUAAAACAAGUUUCAUGAAUUGAAGUGCUUCAAUUACCAGCAAAUCCUUCAACAGAUGAAUAAGGAAUUAUGAAUUCAGGCUGUUUCAAGAACAUAAAGUGCUUCAGGCUGCAAGGAACUUAAAAUAUAUCAGUUAGAAAGCAACCUAGAACAGUUAAUUAUAUGCAAAUUUUAUGAUACUAAAGAUGAAAACAAUGAAAAAAACUACUAAAAUUCAGGUCUUAAUCUAUAAUCUGAUCAUUUUAUUACUUAGAAAUUUGUUUUGUUAAGACCUUGCCGGCAUUGUGGUGGUGUGGGAAGAUUACAUUUACAUUUCUUAGGCAAUGCAAAUGGCUGGGCAGGUUCAGUUUUGAAUGCUGGAAGAGCAUCUUGAAGUUGCAAAGACAAGUCAAGUUGCCAUGUUUUAGCAAACUACAACAUUGCUUGGUUGCUGCUACUGGAGGAUAUUUUUUUGGUGAUUGUCGAGUAAAUCUAAUAAUUUAAAAUAAAAUUUAGUGAAAUGAUACGAAAAUAAUAUAAAAAAAUAUAAAUAUGAUAUAACAUGAAAUUUUAACAAAAAUUAUAUAUAAUUUCAACAAAAAAAAAAUUUUGUGUCAUAAAAAAUGUAAUAUGUAAUUUUUGUAAAAAAUAAAAUAUAAAUAUACGAAUUAUUAAUAUUUUAUAUAACAUAAAAAUAUGAAUUAUUAUGUUAUAUCUGAUCAAUAUAAGUUUAGUGUCACGGUCUAAAUCAACUUGUGAAAUAUUAUUCGUUUUAAAUUAUUAAAUUUUAUGAUUUUAUCUCACAAAUUAAAAAUAAUAUAAAUAUUUUUUAAUACACAAUUGAUAUAAGAUUCAUAACUUUUUUUUAUGAUAUGAAAUUCUCCUUCAUUCUAACAAUGACUCAUCAAAUUUGAUGAUACGUUAUUAGUACCUAAAAUUAAUUAUAAUAUAAAAAAUUACGAUUCACAUUAAUUUAUGAAAUAUUAUUUAUUUAAUUUAUUAAAUUUUAUAAUUUUAUUUUAUAAAAAAUAUCUUGUAAAUUAAAAGUGACGUAUACAUUUACGUUUCAACAUCAACUUUAAUUCAUAACCAACGUAAAAUUCACGAUUCCUCUCCGAGCCCGUGACAUUUGGCUUGGUUAACUGAAUGUUACGUGUAGAAUUUGGAGUUCAUUUGACAACAAGAUUCCUGCUAUUCAUACCUUUUUUCUAUGAUAUGAAAUCUUCCUUCAUUUUAACAAUAACUCAUCAGGGUUUGAUGAUAUAUCAUUAAUAUCUAAAAUUAAUUAUAAUUUUAAAUAUCACGAUUUAUAUUAAUUUAUAAAAUAUUAUUUGUUUAAUUUAUUAAAUUUUAUAAUUUUAUUUCAUAAAAAAUAUUUUAUAAGUUAAAAGUGAUGUAUACAUUUAUGUUUCAACAUCAACUUUAAUUCAUAACCAACGUAAACUUCACGAUUCCUCUCCGAGACCGUGACAUUUGUCUUGGUCAACUGAAUGUUACGUAUAGAAUUUGGAAUUCAUUUGAUAACAAGAUUCCUGCUAUUUGCAUUAGACAGACUCUUUCAUUUGAGUGAGGAAUCAUGGAAAUUGGGCUACUUCCAAGGAUUGCAAUGGGCCUUCAAAUGUGAUAAGGCUGCCCACCUAUAUCUUUGGGUUCUGAUUGAAAUUAUCAUCCUAACCCAUUGGGCUUCCCCAAAUAAUCUAACAGGCCUUGCUUAGUCACUUCUAUCAUUUAAUUUAUCACUUAUUUAUAGGAUUAACAUGUGAUUUAAUUCUUGAAUUACAUUAUUUUUAAUGAUUUUAUAUUUAUUAAAAAAAUUCAAAAUAGAUACUUGAACUUUUUUUUUCAAAAAUUUUUCUUCACUCACUAAUUGUAAUUAAUGAUAUGUGAAAAAAAUCAAUUAAUAAUAUCAUGAUAUGUGUCAUAUUUUUAUUAAUCAGUAUUUAUCGUGUUAGUAUUUUGAUUAAUAAUGUUAGUCAAUGGUACCUAUAUAUUUGAUAAAAAUAAAAUUUAGAUAUCUAAUCGUAAAUUUUUUUAUAAGUUAAAAAUAGUACAAUUCAAAAAUCAAAUUACAUAUUAACCUUUAUUUAUUCGAAAUAGCAUAAUAGAGAAUUACUAAAUUUUUUGUGAUAGUAUUAAAAUAAGUUUUAAAGUAAAUAGUUGCUUGAGAUUAAUCUGAUAGAAAUCCAUGAUAAUUUCAAGAUACCCCAAAAAAGUAAAAAACAAACAAAUGAAAAUCUUAUUCCCCUCAUGUAAUGAUGUUCUUAAAUUGAUUUUAAUCAAAUUAAUUGAUUGAAUUGACUUAAUCUAAUUAAUCAGUUAGCUACUGAAUUAAUUUCAAUCGGUUAUCGAAAAUAAUUUUAAAGAAAUUUUGAUUUUCAAUUAAUUUGGCUUUCGAUUAGAAUUAACUGAAAUAUAAUAAAACUUAUAUAUAAUUAAAAAUAUAUGAAAUUAUCUAUUUCAUUUCAAGUUAUUAAAGGUUUUAAUUUAAUAUUUUAAUAUUUGAAUAAAUUUGUGGGAUAAUUUUAUUUAAUUUGUUUUAAAUAUAAGAAAUUAAUAAUUUAAUAUAUAAUAUAAUUUAAUAUAUUUUAUUAUUCAAUUAAUUCAAAAAAUUAACAGAAUCGAUUAAAUUAAUUUUGAUCGAUUAAUUUUUAAAUUUUAAAAAAUAAUUUUAUUAAUAAAAAUAAAAUAUCAUAAUUUGAUUAUUUUAAUAUUAAAUAAUUCAAUUUAACAUUAAUCGAAUGAAUACUCGCCCGUGUAUUAGCAAUUAUUUUUCUUUAGUUCUUAAAAAAAAAAAAAACUGCAAUAUCUUCUGUCCUUUCCCAAAAAUGAAAAUUAGGAUAUCGUGCAAGGCACUUAUAGAUGCUGGUUGUUAAGGAAAUGAGUGUUUGAACGUAGAAACAUUAGAUAGUGUUGAACAAGUUUAAAUUUUAUUGAUUUUUAUUUUUGUGUUACAAAAGUUUGAGAAUAGAACUAUAAUUAUAAUCUUAUAAAUUCAUUAGUGAAAAUAAAAAAAAAACAUUAUUGGAAAAGAUUCAUUUUUUUAAUUCGUCGAUAAUAAUUUUAAAUUUCAUAUGUGAUAUUUAAAGAUUAAAAUGUAUGCUAUUACUUUUAUAUAAAAUUUAUUAUCUUCUGAUAACAUAUCUUAGUAGAUAUGUAUUAAUUUUUUAAUUCGACUUAUAAAGAUUUUAAAUUUUAGUAACAAUGGAUGAUAUAAUUUUUUCAAUAAAUGUGGUUAUUUUAAUUUAUUUGAUAUAUUAUUUUGUUGAAUUUCAAAAUGGGUUUGAAAUUCUAAUUAAUAUCUUUGGAGGGCGCAUGGAUUAAAGUUUGGGGACAAAGGGACCAAUACUUAGGAUCCAACUCUUCCUAAUCACCCUAAAAAAGAUCUUUCAAGAAAGGUGAAGAGUGGGACAUCUUCACUCAUUUUCCCAAUCAGUCCCAGAUUUUGGCAGCUUUGUUUUCACGAAUAAACCAAAACCAUCUUAUUGAAUCUUAAUCAAAAAUAUAUUUUGUAUACAACUUUUGAUAUUACCAAUGUAAUCACAAUAAAAUAUUUUAUUAAAUUCGAAAUUUGAUUUAAUUAUUUCAUACAUUUAUUUUUAAGAGAUAGUAUUUAAUAAUUUUAUAGUUUAAAUUCAACAUUUAUAAUUCUUUUCAUUACUUUAAAUUAUGACUUUUAAAAAAAAAAAAGAAUUUGACCCAUAGGUUAAUGCUUGACAAUCAUAAUCUUUGCUUCGUAACCUAGAUUUAAUUAAAAAAGUAAAUAAAUAAAUAAUUUUUAAAAUUUUCUUUGAUCAAUAAUAAUUUUGUAUUUUUGUAUGUUUGAGUAUAAAUUUUACCUCAAUUUUUAUUUUUACAUAAAUUAGCAUUUGUUAAAUAAUACUGAUAUAAUACUCACAAAUUUUGUUUAGAUUUAAUUUUUUUUAAAUUAUUUUAAAUAAGUGUUUUUCAUAUAUAUAUUUAGGAUUUUAUUUUUAACCUUUAAAUUAUUUUAAAAUUAUACAUGGGUGUAUUUUCUUUAGUUAAUAUUUUGCAUGGUAUUCUCUUGUGUUCUAAUACGCGUAUUCAUUAUCAUUUAUAAUAUUCAUCACCUCAAAUUAUUUUGUUAUUUGAAUUUGAAUACUCUCUUAUGUUGAAGUAUACCAAACAUCAAUCAACUUAAAUUUUAUUUUGUUUUAUUUUUGGACGCCAUAGAUUUUAUAAUUUUAAAACGAGACAAUAAUAUAAUAUAAAAAUAAUAUAAAUUAAAAAUUAAAUGAUCUAAAAUUUUGAUUAAAAAUUAUAAAAAAUUUGGUAAAAAUAUAAAUAUUUUGCAUUAUCCUAUCAUUCGAUUGUGAUAAAUAAAUUUCUUUAUUUGAACUGUGCCUGUCUUAUUUUAUAUAUCAAACGAAAAAUUUUAUUUUAUAUCAUUUGAUUAUUUAUAUAUUUAUAUUAUAUAAAAUAUUAAAAUUUAUAUAUUUAUAUAUAUCUUAUAUCAUAAUUUAUAUUUAUUUAAAAAUAUAAAAUAUAUUUUUUAAAUUUUAUUAAACUUACAUAUAAUUAUUUUUAAAAUUUUAAAAUAUAUUAUUUUUAUAUUUUUUAUUCAUAUCAUAUUUAUAUCUUAUCAAUUUCAUAAUUUCAUAUUUAAACCUAUUCAAAAAAGCUGCCCAAGAUCCUAAACUCCACCCUACGCCGACAAAUACACGUGUCCACACAAAUGGCUAACGUGUCAAACAACCAAAGCGAGUGCAUUCUUUAUACAGUACUCUCAGAAACACCCAAUUAGUAACGGAACCGUACCUGCUUCGAAGCUUGUCUUGCUCUUUGCUGUCUUCCAUGUAAAAACUAACAACCGUUCUUUUUACUUUGCUCUUCUUAGAAGAAAAAUCGAUCCUUUCUCUCUCUACAAUCCCGUUCUCUCUCUAUAUACCAAUCUUAUAUAUAUAUAUAUACACACACACACACAUUUGUUGAUUCUUUAAAUGGUUUUUUGUUCUGUAAAUUUUCAUGCCGUGUAAAAGAACUUUGAAAGAACUGAAUUUAUUUAUUGGGAAAAUGGAAAAUAUUUGCUUUUUAUAGGUAAAUAUUUCUGGGUUUGCUUUUUUCUUGUGUUUUCUUUAUUGGGUUAUCAUUUUUUUAGUUGUUCUUUUGAGUUUUUUUUUCUGUAUUUGGUUGUUCCUGUUGAAUUAUCUUUGGUUUGCUUUUUGUUUCUGUUUCAUUUUUGGAACUGAUGAUGAAAAAGGAGUUAUCUUGGUAGUGGUUUCUUGGGUUUCAUGUUUCUGUGAUUCUUUUGGUGAUUGUUGUAAGUUGAAAUCAAUCUAUUGGAUGGUUUCAUGAUGGCUUCUUGUUAAUAUUUAUGCUUAUGGGAUCUUAAUUUGAGUUCUGGAUUUGGAUUUUUUUUAUUUUUAGACUAUUUCUUUGUUAGUUUGUAUGUGUUAGGGACAAAAGGAUUGGAUAUUCAUGAUUGAUAUAAGUUCAAAUUCAAAGCAAUCUAUAGGGAUGGUUUCAUGAAAGAUUCUUGUUGUCUUCAUGCUUAUAGGAGAUAAAACUGAGUCAUUGAUUUGGUUUUGCUGAUUUUCAGAUUCUGGGGUUGAGGAAUCUUGUUGGAAAAUUUAGCUACUUGGGUAAUUUGGGCUGUAGUUUGAGUCCUGCAUUGGUCAUUGGAUUCUGGAUUCAGUUGGUGUAAGAAAUUUGGAGAAGAAAUUUGGGUUAGAGUUUUUUUUUUUCCUCUGCUUGGUUAAUCUGUAGUUAUGUCUAGUUUCGUUGGUGUCGUUGUCUCAGACCAAUGGCUUCAAAGCCAAUUCACACAAGUCGAGCUUCGCUGCCUUAAAUCAUAAGCAAGCAUACUUUGGUCCCUCCUAAACUUAUUGCUACAACUAUUGCAUUAUUAUUCGAUUUCAUUGUUAUUUUUUGUGAAUGUAAUUUGAUAGAAUUUGAACUGCCUUGUUUUUUAUGAUUUCUAGUUUGUUUCAGUAAAGAACCAAAAUGGUAAAGUUACAGUUGAAGAUUUGCCGCCCUUGAUGGUGAAAUGAAGGUUUUUAGUACUAUGUUUACUGAGGACGAGAUUAGUUAGAAAUUGGGCGAAUCCUAUAGUGAGAUGAGCAAUGAGAUUGAUUUUGGAACAUUCCUCAGGGUGAGUCAUUUAUAUACGGGCUUGUGCAUGCUCUCAGUUGUAUUCUAUUUUACUGUUAUUAACCAUGUAGUAUUAUAACAUAUGGAAAGAAAAAAAAACCAGAAUCAAAACUUACAUGGCGGUUUACAUUCUAUUAAAUUGCAUACAAGUGGUAAUUAUAGGCUUGAACUUCGGUUGAUACUUGAAUUAGUUAAAGGGGCCUAACAUUAUGAUUGGUUGCAUGGAAUGAGCAGUUGUUUUUAAAUUUGCAAGGUCAGGCUACGGGAAAAUUGGGCAGUCCAAAGAAUUCAUCGUUGUUCUUAAAGACCUCCACAACCACUCUUCUUCACACGGUCAGUGAAUCAGAAAAAGCCUCUUAUGUUACACACAUAAACAUUUAUCUUGGGGAUGAUCCAUUUUUAAAGCAGUUUCUUCCGCUGGAUCCAGCUACGAAUGAUCUUUUCAAUCUUGCUAAAGAUGGAGUACUUUUAUGGUAAUUUUGUGGGGUGUGCUCCUUUAUGCAUUUGCUUUUUCUUUUUCUUUUCUUGUUUUUCUAUAGAAGCUGGUACAUAGACGUGACACUUAUUCUGUUUUCUUGUAUUUUUGCAGUAAGCUUAUAAAUGUUGCUGUGCCGGGAACAAUAGAUGAACGAGCUACCAACACAAAAAGGGUACUUAACCCAUGGGAGAGGAAUGAGAACCAUACCCUUUGUCUCAACUCUGCAAAGGCUAUUGGCUGCACUGUGGUAAACAUUGGCACCCAGGACUUGGUUGAAGGAAGGGUUAGUAUAGCUAAACGGAUUCCUAUGUGAGUUAGAAUGAAAUAGGCUGAUAAUCUUAUGGUUUUCAUCUUGAUUAUUUGUAUUUCAGCCUCAUCUCUUACUUGGGUUGAUCUCUCAAAUUAUAAAGGUAGGCAUAUAAAUCAUCUGUAUUAUUUAUGUCCAAUUUCUUGUAUCGGCUUUAAACUGUCAUGCUGGACUCAGAAAAGUAGGUUGUUAACUUAAGACAAGUUGUUUUCAGGUACCCUUUUUCUCAUCCUUACCAUCUGUGACAACUGCAGAUUCAACUGUUAGCAGAUCUCAACCUUAAGAAGACACCUCAGCUUGUGGAAUUGGUGGAGGAUAGCAAUUCAG
RNAcentral lists this long non-coding RNA (38620 nucleotides) under Durio zibethinus. RNAcentral describes it as "long non-coding RNA (DZIB_LNC001977)". Lineage: Eukaryota; Viridiplantae; Streptophyta; Magnoliopsida; Malvales; Malvaceae. The record is from RNAcentral.